UGCAAGUCGUACGCGUUGGCCCAACUGAUUUGAAGUGCUUGCACGGAUCUGACGUUGGUUUACCAACGAGUGGCGGACGGGUGAGUAACACGUAGGUAACCUGCCCAGAAGCGGGGGACAACACUUGGAAACAGGUGCUAAUACCGCAUAACAAUUCAAAUCGCAUGAUUUGAAUUUAAAAGAUGGUUUCGGCUAUCACUUCUGGAUGGACCUGCGGCGCAUUAGCUUGUUGGUGGGGUAACGGCCUACCAAGGCAGUGAUGCGUAGCCGAGUUGAGAGACUGAUCGGCCACAAUGGGACUGAGACACGGCCCAUACUCCUACGGGAGGCAGCAGUAGGGAAUCUUCCACAAUGGGCGCAAGCCUGAUGGAGCAACACCGCGUGAGUGAAGAAGGUUUUCGGAUCGUAAAGCUCUGUUGUUGAAGAAGAACGUGCAUGAGAGUAACUGUUCAUGCAGUGACGGUAUUCAACCAGAAAGUCACGGCUAACUACGUGCCAGCAGCCGCGGUAAUACGUAGGUGGCAAGCGUUAUCCGGAUUUAUUGGGCGUAAAGAGAGUGCAGGCGGUUUCUUAAGUCUGAUGUGAAAGCCUUCGGCUCAACCGAAGAAGUGCAUCGGAAACUGGGAAACUUGAGUACAGAAGAGGGCAGUGGAACUCCAUGUGUAGCGGUGGAAUGCGUAGAUAUAUGGAAGAACACCAGUGGCGAAGGCGGCUGCCUGGUCUGUAACUGACGCUGAGACUCGAAAGCAUGGGUAGCGAACAGGAUUAGAUACCCUGGUAGUCCAUGCCGUAAACGAUGAGUGCUAGGUGUUGGAGGGUUUCCGCCCUUCAGUGCCGGAGCUAACGCAUUAAGCACUCCGCCUGGGGAGUACGACCGCAAGGUUGAAACUCAAAGGAAUUGACGGGGGCCCGCACAAGCGGUGGAGCAUGUGGUUUAAUUCGAAGCUACGCGAAGAACCUUACCAGGUCUUGACAUCUUGCGCCAACCCUAGAGAUAGGGCGUUUCCUUCGGGAACGCAAUGACAGGUGGUGCAUGGUCGUCGUCAGCUCGUGUCGUGAGAUGUUGGGUUAAGUCCCGCAACGAGCGCAACCCUUGUUACUAGUUGCCAGCAUUAAGUUGGGCACUCUAGUGAGACUGCCGGUGACAAACCGGAGGAAGGUGGGGACGACGUCAGAUCAUCAUGCCCCUUAUGACCUGGGCUACACACGUGCUACAAUGGACGGUGCAACGAGCAGCGAACUCGCGAGGGCAAGCAAAUCUCUUAAAACCGUUCUCAGUUCGGAUUGCAGGCUGCAACUCGCCUGCAUGAAGUCGGAAUCGCUAGUAAUCGCGGAUCAGCAUGCCGCGGUGAAUACGUUCCCGGGCCUUGUACACACCGCCCGUCACACCAUGAGAGUUUGUAACACCCAAAGUCGGUGGGGUAACCUUUGGAGCC
RNAcentral lists this ribosomal RNA (1436 nucleotides) under uncultured methanogenic archaeon. Its description in RNAcentral is "bacterial SSU rRNA". It matches the Rfam family "Bacterial small subunit ribosomal RNA". The record is from RNAcentral. Lineage: Archaea; Methanobacteriati; Methanobacteriota.